This 249-nucleotide ribosomal RNA is filed under the name uncultured Actinomycetales bacterium. Its description in RNAcentral is "partial 16S ribosomal RNA". It matches the Rfam family "Bacterial small subunit ribosomal RNA", at positions 84 to 334 of the family's 1533-position model. The record is from RNAcentral. Lineage: Bacteria; Bacillati; Actinomycetota; Actinomycetes; Actinomycetales.
GGGGUGCUCGAGUGGCGAACGGGUGAGUAACACGUGAGUAACCUGCCCUUGACUUUGGGAUAACUUCAGGAAACUGGGGCUAAUACCGGAUAGGAGCUCCUGCUGCAUGGUGGGGGUUGGAAAGUUUCGGCGGUUGGGGAUGGACUCGCGGCUUAUCAGCUUGUUGGAGGGGUAGUGGCUUACCAAGGCUUUGACGGGUAGCCGGCCUGAGAGGGUGACCGGCCACAUUGGGACUGAGAUACGGCCCAG